RNAcentral lists this long non-coding RNA (1206 nucleotides) under Equus asinus (donkey). RNAcentral describes it as "lncRNA (ENSEASG00005030135.1)". Lineage: Eukaryota; Metazoa; Chordata; Mammalia; Perissodactyla; Equidae. The record is from RNAcentral.
AUUUUUAAUGCAAAGCUUAGGUGCUUCCACAGCCUGCAUCUUUUCACAACUGUCAGCAAUUGGGGGUGUCCCUAACACUUUCGCAAACUGGAGCAGGGGCGUCCUUUCUGCUCAACCUCAAUGACCUCUUUAACUGCUCCCAUCCUCCCGGUAGUUACCAUGGCAGUCACCAUUUUCGACGGCCACUCACCAGUUCUUCCCAUGAAAUUCUAGAACACAAAGAAAAUAGUCUCUCUCUAGACACUUGGGUCACAAUAGGAAAAACAUGGGUGUUGGCAGCCACGAUCUGUCACAUGCACUGAGGAGUAGAGGAAGCUGGUCUGUAACAGAAAAGAAGAACUCAGAAGCACUGAGGGAAGCUAAGCGAUGGGGAGAGAGACAGAACAGAGCAUAAGCCUAACUUCUUCACGUUUUGACAUCUAACCACUGGAGCUGAAUCUGUCCAUCCGGCUCUGUGGCUAAGAGGGUUGUGUGGAGCUUAAGAAACUGAUCCUGGGCGAAGAUCAUCCUGUAUAUUCUCAGCAUACGGUAACAUCACUACUGAUCAACUUUCUAUGAAUAUUAAAAUUGUCCCAGUACAAACAGCUCAGCCUGUCGCUCAUCAAGGACCUCUGACACUACUAUGUUUCACAGCAAUCAGCAACAAUGCCAUGUGCUUCCCCAGGGAGGUAACAGAUACUCUUAGGAGCCACAAACGAAGGAAAAGUACAUAGGGGGACAAUAACAUGGCCCUGCAAGGGUUUUCUGCACAAGAUUCCCUUUGUCUCUUGCCAGAGAUAGAAAAUGAUACACACGCAAAUCAGGAGUAACUGCCUUGGAAAGAAAAACUGGUAAAAGAAACAUUCAGCAGAAUGAAAAAAUUCUGAACCCAGUGACACCUGUCUGUAACAUUUAAGUGGAAUCUGCAAACACUGAGCAACAGUUUCCGAAAGCAGCUAACAAAGAGCUUGUAGCACCUGGAGCUCCACCCACUAACUAGCUGGACCAACAGCUGAUACUUCAAAGUAAAGGCUGAGACUUCUGUCACAAAAAUUGUUCAGUAAAAAGGCCAACUUCUUAGCCCUAAACAGACAAGAAGAGAUCUGAUACAACAGAAAUUUUAAUCCAGUGGCUCUACUAUGCCCAUUCCAAACUGGGAGACAAUGUCCAAGUGUUAAGACUACCAAAAGGAGGGGCCGCCCCCGUGGCGUAGUGGUUGGGUUCAGC